This 578-nucleotide long non-coding RNA is filed under the name Homo sapiens (human). RNAcentral's name for it is "non-protein coding MIR3936HG:22". Lineage: Eukaryota; Metazoa; Chordata; Mammalia; Primates; Hominidae. The record is from RNAcentral.
AAAAUCCUCAAUAAAAUACUGGCAAACCGAAUCCAGUAGCACAUCAAAAAGCUUCUCCACCACGAUCAAGUGGGCUUCAUCCCUGGGAUGCAAGGCUGUUUCAACAUAUGCAAAUCAAUAAACAUAAUCCAUCACAGAAACAGAACCAAUGACAAAAACCGCUUGAUUAUCUCAAUAGAUGCAGAAAAGGCCGUCGACAAAAUUCAAAAGCCCUUCAUGCUAAAAACUCUCAAUAAACUAGGUAUUGAUAGAACGUUUCUCAAAAUAAUAAGAGCUAUAUAUGACAAACCCACAGCCAAUAUCAUGUGGAAUGGGCUAAAGCUGUUGACCUGAUAGAUAUGGGUUCAAGAGGACACAGCUGAAUACUGUGCUUAGGAAAAGAACAGUUUCAAAGGCUUUCCAGAUUGUCAGAUUUGAUGAUAUCCUCCUUGGUGCACACCUCUCUUGGCUAUGGGGCACAUAAACCACCUCUACCAAUCUAACUGGUACCAGUUGAAUGAAGAGAAGCACACCUCCUCCCCAGAACAGUACUGCAGCUAUGAUAUAACGCCUGGGCAGGGUUCGCAAUAGCAGCCAGG